AGAAAUCAUCAUAUUUUCCAUGCAUUUCACGUUAUAAGAGAAGAGAAGAAAGAAAGUUUUGCUUUCUUUACAAUUUGGUCCUUUCACCAAAAAUUUACCAUUUUCACUUAGAAAUCAAAGGAAUUUCCAUAGCUAUCAAGAGAGAAAGAUAACAAGGAGACUAUAGGAGCUAGAAUAUCAAGUUGGAUUCAAGAAAUAGAAGUUGGAGGAGAGAGAAAAUCAAGUUAAAGGUUGAAACCAAUAGGACAAGG
Molecule: long non-coding RNA, 251 nt
Filed under: Gossypium barbadense (sea-island cotton)
Lineage: Eukaryota; Viridiplantae; Streptophyta; Magnoliopsida; Malvales; Malvaceae
Description: long non-coding RNA (GBAR_LNC015235)
Source: RNAcentral